UCGGACUGCAGUCUGCAACUCGACUGCACGAAGUCGGAAUUGCUAGUAAUCGCGGAUCAGCAUGCCGCGGUGAAUACGUUCCCGGGCCUUGUACACACCGCCCGUCACACCAUGGGAGUCGGUAACACCCGAAGUCGGUAGCCUAACCGUAAGGAGGGCGCCGCCGAAGGUGGGAUUGAUGACUGGGGUGAAGUCGUAACAAGGUAAC
Molecule: ribosomal RNA, 208 nt
Filed under: uncultured bacterium
Lineage: Bacteria
Description: partial 16S ribosomal RNA
Rfam family: Bacterial small subunit ribosomal RNA
Source: RNAcentral